GAUGAACGCUAGCGGCAGGCCUAACACAUGCAAGUCGAGGGGUAGCAGGAUUAAGCUUGCUUAAUUGCUGACGACCGGCGCACGGGUGCGUAACGCGUAUGCAACCUACCUUAUACUGGGGUAUAGCCCGGAGAAAUUCGGAUUAAUCCCCCAUAGUACUAAUGAAUCGCAUGGUUUAUUAGUUAAAGCAUUGCGGUAUAAGAUGGGCAUGCGUCCUAUUAGCUAGAUGGUGAGGUAACGGCUCACCAUGGCUACGAUAGGUAGGGGGCCUGAGAGGGUGGUCCCCCACACUGGUACUGAGACACGGACCAGACUCAUACGGGAGGCAGCAGUGAGGAAUAUUGGUCAAUGGGCGCAAGCUUGAACCAGCCAUGCCGCGUGCAGGAAGAAUGCCCUAUGUGUUGUAAACUGCUUUUAUUUGGGAAUAAACCUCUUUACGUGUAGAGAGCUGAAGGUACCAAAUGAAUAAGCACCGGCUAACUCCGUGUCAGCAGCCGCAGUAA
Molecule: ribosomal RNA, 503 nt
Filed under: uncultured bacterium
Lineage: Bacteria
Description: partial 16S ribosomal RNA
Rfam family: Bacterial small subunit ribosomal RNA
Source: RNAcentral